Cavia aperea (Brazilian guinea pig) is the source of this 87-nucleotide small nucleolar RNA. The record is from Ensembl. NCBI's taxonomy places the organism in Eukaryota, Metazoa, Chordata, Mammalia, Rodentia, Caviidae.
UGUAAAAUUCGGUUUUCAAAGAUUAAGGUUCUGCACAGGAUACCAUAGUCACUCCACAGUGCUGUGUUUUCCCAAGGAUUUAUAAAA